This 909-nucleotide ribosomal RNA is filed under the name Clostridium thermosuccinogenes. RNAcentral describes it as "bacterial SSU rRNA". It matches the Rfam family "Bacterial small subunit ribosomal RNA", at positions 569 to 1479 of the family's 1533-position model. The record is from RNAcentral. Lineage: Bacteria; Bacillati; Bacillota; Clostridia; Eubacteriales; Clostridiaceae.
GCGUAGGCGGGGAUGUAAGUCAGAUGUGAAAUACCAUGGCUCACCNGUGGGGCUGCAUNNNAAACUAUGUUUCUUGAGUGCUGGAGAGGAAAGCGGAAUUCCUAGUGUAGCGGUGAAAUGCGUAGAUAUUAGGAGGAACACCAGUGGCGAAGGCGGCUUUCUGGACAGUAACUGACGNUGAGGCGCGAAAGCGUGGGGAGCGAACAGGAUUAGAUACCCUGGUAGNNACGCCGUAAACGAUGGAUACUAGGUGUAGGAGGUAUCGACCCCUUCUGUGCCGGAGUAAACACAAUAAGUAUCCCACCUGGGGAGUACGGCCGCAAGGUUGAAACUCAAAGGAAUUGACGGGGGCCCGCACAAGCAGUGGAGUAUGUGGUUUAAUUCGAAGCAACGCGAAGAACCUUACCAGGGCUUGACAUACAGAGGGAUAUGUCAGAGAUGGCAUAGCUCUUCGGAGCCUCUGUACAGGUGGUGCAUGGUUGUCGUCAGCUCGUGUCGUGAGAUGUUGGGUUAAGUCCCGCAACGAGCGCAACCCUUGUUGUUAGUUGGUAACACGUAAAGGUGACCACUCUAACGAGACUGCCGGUGACAAAUCGGAGGAAGGUGGGGACGACGUCAAAUCAUCAUGCCCCUUAUGUCCUGGGCUACACACGUACUACAAUGGCUACAACAAAGGGAAGCGAAGCCGUAAGGCGGAGCAAAUCCCCAAAAGUAGUCCCAGUUCGGAUUGUGGGCUGCAACCCGCCCACAUGAAGUCGGAAUUGCUAGUAAUGGCAGGUCAGCAUACUGCCGUGAAUACGUUCCCGGGCCUUGUACACACCGCCCGUCACACCAUGAGAGUCAGCAACACCCGAAGUCAGUAGCUUAACCGCAAGGAGGGCGCUGCCGAAGGUGGGGCCGAUGAUUGGG